UACGUAGGGUGCAAGCGUUAAUCGGAAUUACUGGGCGUAAAGCGUGCGCAGGCGGUUUUGUAAGUCUGUUGUGAAAUCCCCGGGCUCAACCUGGGAAUGGCAAUGGAGACUGCAAGGCUAGAGUUUGGCAGAGGGGGGUAGAAUUCCACGUGUAGCAGUGAAAUGCGUAGAUAUGUGGAGGAAUACCGAUGGCGAAGGCAGCCCCCUGGGCCAAUACUGACGCUCAUGCACGAAAGCGUGGGGAGCAAACAGG
RNAcentral lists this ribosomal RNA (253 nucleotides) under uncultured bacterium. RNAcentral's name for it is "partial 16S ribosomal RNA". It matches the Rfam family "Bacterial small subunit ribosomal RNA", at positions 524 to 776 of the family's 1533-position model. The record is from RNAcentral.